CCUACGGGGGGCUGCAGUGAGGAAUAUUGGUCAAUGGACGAGAGUCUGAACCAGCCAAGUAGCGUGAAGGAUGACUGCCCUAUGGGUUGUAAACUUCUUUUAUAGGGGAAUAAAAUGUGGCACGUGUGGGAUUUUGUAUGUACCAUAUGAAUAAGGAUCGGCUAACUCCGUGCCAGCAGCCGCGGUAAUACGGAGGAUCCGAGCGUUAUCCGGAUUUAUUGGGUUUAACGGGAGCGUAGGUGGAUUGUUAAGUCAGUUGUGCAAGUUUGCGGCUCACCCGUAAAAUUGCAGUUGCAACUGGCAGUCUUGAGUACAGUACAGGUGGGCGGAAUUCGUUGUGUCGCGG
RNAcentral lists this ribosomal RNA (346 nucleotides) under uncultured bacterium. RNAcentral describes it as "partial 16S ribosomal RNA". It matches the Rfam family "Bacterial small subunit ribosomal RNA", at positions 338 to 681 of the family's 1533-position model. The record is from RNAcentral.